This 3128-nucleotide long non-coding RNA is filed under the name Sus scrofa (pig). RNAcentral's name for it is "lncRNA (ENSSSCG00040072681.1)". The record is from RNAcentral. Lineage: Eukaryota; Metazoa; Chordata; Mammalia; Artiodactyla; Suidae.
UGCCUGAGUUCAUCCAGAGCCUGAAGAGGCCAUUGGUUCUAUGCCCCAAUGCCUGUAUAUAUGAUGGGACAGUGAAUCUGGGUGCUUUCUGUGCUCCAUGUGGAGAAGGUGAAGCAGUCACUCUUGUCAUCUCUCUAAAGAACUGAGUUGGAGCGCGUCUUUGGAUAGGAGCCGUGCUGCUGCUGACUGGGGAAGAGGUGUGGUCUAAUGGUGACUGAGCCUGCCAGAAUUUUGAAACAGACAGGUGUCCAGAUCAUCUUGGCUCAUCUGGAUUUUGGAUGCUUUGUCACUGAGAAGAUUAGGAAGAUGAGGCUCAGAAAAAUGAAGUGACAUACCUCUGAGUGAGGCAAAGCUGAGUCUGGUGACUCCAAACCGCAGUGAGCUGCUGCAUCCCUGGUGAUGAGACGGGCUUCCUGCUUUCAUACAAAGCUCUCGAGUCUUCUCCAAAGAGUACACCCAAGACCUUGCCCGGUAAAACUGGAUGACUUUCCUCAGGCAUAGGAAAGGUAACAUUCCAGGAAUGGAGGUUGAAGUCAAGAGAUUUAGGGGCACCAAGGGCAAACUUUCUACUUCACAGAUUUUCAAAGGACUGGCAUUCUGAGCAGCAUCAAGUAUGUUAGUAGCUGAGCCCAUUCGUGGUACUUCAUAAACACUCGAAUUCUUGAGACCCUCAUGUUCCACUCUUCUACAGUAUAUAGUUGGUUAAAAGUCCCCAUUUUUCUGGUAAUAGCAUUCUUGGAAAUUGUGCUUUGAGAUCAGUCCUUCUGGGAAAGGCAUAACCUACUGAAGAGGUACUGAGAAGAGUUGAAACCAUAAAUGUCGAGCUUACCCAGGAGAGUAAGUAUAAACCGCUUGCAUCUUUCAGGCUGAAUUAUAGCUUAUCAAGCACACAUUAAAACUUUAAGCCUUUUUUUCCUUAAGUAAGAAUAAAUCUAAGUUGACUAUUCCAGCAUAUGUAUUUGUUUUCCCUACACUGUCUAUAAACCAUGUCCAAGGUGAGUAUUUAUAAGCCUGAGCGAAAACUAGACAAACAAUUCUGAGAAUAAGUGACAACUAUAACAGUUCGUGAUAAGACAGUCACAACAAAGGAAAUGCUAUGCAUUAAGUGAUUUUUCUUGCAAAUCCUUUAUACAUAUGUCAGGCUGUGUGCUGGCAGAGUGAAAGAGAAUAAAUCAAAGGGAAUACACGUGUAAGAAAGGGUUUUUAGGCAAACGCUGUCUUGCAUGCAUAAAUCAAAUAAAUAGUGAUUUAAAAAAAAACCCAAAGGAACAGGAUAGUUUCUAUGGAAUUUUACACAAUUAAGUUAUUUAGUAGUUUCACAACAAUUUGUAUUUAUGGAGCACUUUACAAUUAUUUGUUCAUUAAAUCUUAUGACAUUUCUGGCAAGCAGGUCUAUACCAUCAGUUUAAUUUUAUAGUCAAGGUAGAUGAAGCAAGGAAUUGUAAAGGAGCUUUCUGAAGGUUGCACAGCUAGGUUUGAGCAGGACUUACUUUAGAACUCUUGCUUCCACAAUCUUGAGUUGCAGUCCUGGGUGGAUGUUCAGUUGCCUCUUAGCUCCCUUCUAGAGGAGGGAUGAGUCAUGAGGCAUACCUGGACAUCCAGAGAAGGGUGUUUGUUAAAGGCAGUAGCUCCUGGCAGUUAAUCUAGAAGCACCAGUGUUUGGUAUUGGCAUUAGCAUUGCAGCUGGAAUAUGGACCCAUUGGCAUGUUGACACAUGUGUAUAUGAUACAAACACUCAUCUGCAAUAGAGCCUCAUUUGAGAUGUUCAUAUUGGUAGUCUAAAGCUGUAAUUAGCCCAGGGCAUGAUACCUGGCAGGGGGGUGUGCUUUAAAAAUAAACUAAUGCCCCAGGAUGAAUUGAAUCUAUGAGACUAGGGCUUGGACAGGGAUAUUUUCAAAGAGUGACCAGGUUUUUCUGACUUGUGGUCAGAGUUGAGAACCACUGGUAUAAAAAUCCUUCCAUGUCUGUAGCAGUUUGGCAGUUUGUUCACUGCAAAAAGACAGAUGACGGAGCGACUAGUGAGGGCUCAAACUCAGCUCACACACAGUGUGCCCUAAUUUUGAGGUGGCUUUUGUUCUCAGAAAAAGUGUCACCUAUUGUCUAAUUCCCACCAAGGAAGCCCCAAGUCAUUCCCUUACUCUUGUAUAUGCAUUAUUGUAUAUCCUACGUAUUUCAUUUUCAGCUUAUUUUCACUCCUGCAUGCUUGGAACUUGAUAUACAAGAGGAUACAGCAACAAAACCAUCACAGUCUUGUCCCUAUAGAGUCCACAGUCUGUUGAGAAGAAAAGCGACAGAACAGGGAGCUCCACAACAUGGGAAGUGCUCCAGUAGGCAUGAGUGCAAGAAGCUGGGGAGGACAUUGGAUGGGCACUCCACCCAGACCUGGGGCACCAAGGGACCUUGUAAUGGAGGUGGUAUAAAAGGGAAGGAGUAGCAUUCAUAGCUGAAUGGCAGCAUUUGAAAAAACCUGGAAUUGAGAGACACUGAGGAUUACUGGGGAACUGGCAGUGGUUCAGCCCUUCCUGAUGGAGGGUGGAGGGAAUAAAAGCUGGAGGGGGAGCUGGGAGUGCAGCAAGUUGUCCCAGUCUUCCAACAGCUGGGAUGGCCACUUGCAAGCCUAAUUACUGUACUGGGCUCCUCAGUCUUAUCUUUCUCUUUCCAUCUUUCCUCUCUCCCUAGGUCCCACCUUCUUUUCAGAUACAGUCCUGAAAAGAAGAGCAGAAAGCACCAAUUCCAAGUGUACUCUACUUCCUGUAAUCUCCAGCUCUAGGUACUGAAAAGAAACAAAAAGCUUGGUAGCAGGCAAAGGAACAAACACUUGUAGGGAUGCAGAUGUCCCUGCCUCACUUGGUGCCACCUGGAAAAACCUCUAAUUGGCUCAAAUCCCUCCUUUCUUACCACUUUUAAUUGAUAUGCCUGGUCCUGAACUCACAUUCAACAUUCCCAUCCUAAUUCCUGGACUGGUGGGGGUGGCAUGGAGGUGGAAAAUGGGGUGGUAUGAAUGAAACAUGCUUGGGCAUGAACUCAUGAAAUUACUGAAGCUGGUGGUGAGUACAUGAGCAUUGACUAUACUAGCUCCUCUAUUUCUGAUUACGUUUGAAAUUUUCUAUUAUAAAACAAAGAAAAAC